This 478-nucleotide ribosomal RNA is filed under the name Lepas sp. eL06i10_07. RNAcentral describes it as "SSU rRNA". It matches the Rfam family "Eukaryotic small subunit ribosomal RNA", at positions 482 to 921 of the family's 1831-position model. The record is from RNAcentral. Lineage: Eukaryota; Metazoa; Arthropoda; Thecostraca; Lepadidae.
UUACAGAGGUCUCGUUAACCGAGAUCUCUCAAACGGAAUGAGUACAACGUGAAUCCUUUAACGAGGAUCGACUGGAGGGCAAGCCUGGUGCCAGCAGCCGCGGUAAUUCCAGCUCCAGUAGCGUAUAUUAAAGCUGUUGCGGUUAAAAAGCUCGUAGUUGGAUAUCAGUGUGGUUCAGCACGACAUGCCCGGUGCGUUAUGGCGUUCUCGCGAUGACGUCCGGGCUCCCAAAUGUCGUCUGGCUACAUUCAAUGGCGUCGGACUCGGCGGCCGUACUUCGGUGGGGCCUGCCGGCGACCGGCGGUGUUACCUUGAACAAAUUAGAGUGCUCAAAGCAGGCUCUCAAUGCCUGUAUACAUAUUCAUGGAAUUGGAGAAUACGUCCCUGGCUCGAUUUGGUUGGUUUUGAGAGUCGAAGGGAAAUGAUUAAUAGGGACUGACGGAGGCAUUCGUAUUGCGACGCGAGGGGUGAAAUCCUG